Molecule: ribosomal RNA, 239 nt
Filed under: uncultured Actinomycetales bacterium
Lineage: Bacteria; Bacillati; Actinomycetota; Actinomycetes; Actinomycetales
Description: partial 16S ribosomal RNA
Rfam family: Bacterial small subunit ribosomal RNA
Source: RNAcentral
UACGUAGGGUGCGAGCGUUAUCCGGAAUUAUUGGGCGUAAAGAGCUCGUAGGCGGUUUGUCGCGUCUGUCGUGAAAGUCCGGGGCUUAACCCCGGAUCUGCGGUGGGUACGGGCAGACUAGAGUGCAGUAGGGGAGACUGGAAUUCCUGGUGUAGCGGUGGAAUGCGCAGAUAUCAGGAGGAACACCGAUGGCGAAGGCAUGAAUCUCUGGGCUGUAACUGACGCUGAGGAGCGAAAGA